UACGUAGGUGGCAAGCGUUGUCCGGAAUCAUUGGGCGUAAAGAGCGCGUAGGCGGUCCGGUAAGUCCGCUCUGAAAGUCCGGGGGCUCAACCCCGGGAGGCGGGCGGAUACUGUCGGGCUAGAGUCCGGAAGAGGCGAGUGGAAUUCCUGGUGUAGCGGUGAAAUGCGCAGAUAUCAGGAGGAACACCAAUGGCGAAGGCAGCUCGCUGGCCCGAUACUGACGCUGAGGCGCGAAAGCGUGGGGAGCAAACAGG
This 254-nucleotide ribosomal RNA is filed under the name uncultured bacterium. RNAcentral describes it as "partial 16S ribosomal RNA". It matches the Rfam family "Bacterial small subunit ribosomal RNA", at positions 524 to 776 of the family's 1533-position model. The record is from RNAcentral.